GGACGAACGCUGGCGGCGUGCCUAACACAUGCAAGUCGAGCGAGGAGAUCCUUCGGGAUGAUCCUAGCGGCGGACGGGUGAGUAACACGUGGGCAACCUGCCUCAUAGAGAGGAAUAGCCUUCCGAAAGGGAGAUUAAUACCUCAUAACAUUGCAGUUUCGCAUGGAACAGCAAUUAAAGGAGCAAUCCGCUAUGAGAUGGGCCCGCGGCGCAUUAGCUAGUUGGUGAGGUAACGGCUCACCAAGGCGACGAUGCGUAGCCGACCUGAGAGGGUGAUCGGCCACAUUGGGACUGAGACACGGCCCAGACUCCUACGGGAGGCAGCAGUGGGGAAUAUUGCACAAUGGGGGAAACCCUGAUGCCAGCAACGCCGCGUGAGUGAUGACGGCCUUCGGGUUGUAAAGCUCUGUCUUCAGGGACGAUAAUGACGGUACCUGAGGAGGAAGCCACGGCUAACUACGUGCCAGCCGCCGC
RNAcentral lists this ribosomal RNA (474 nucleotides) under uncultured bacterium. RNAcentral's name for it is "bacterial SSU rRNA". It matches the Rfam family "Bacterial small subunit ribosomal RNA", at positions 27 to 518 of the family's 1533-position model. The record is from RNAcentral.